AUUGAACGCUGGCGGCAGGCCUAACACAUGCAAGUCGAACGGUAACAGGAAGAAGCUUGCUUCUUUGCUGACGAGUGGCGGACGGGUGAGUAAUGUCUGGGAAACUGCCUGAUGGAGGGGGAUAACUACUGGAAACGGUAGCUAAUACCGCAUAAUGUCGCAAGACCAAAGAGGGGGACCUUCGGGCCUCUUGCCAUCGGAUGUGCCCAGAUGGGAUUAGCUAGUAGGUGGGGUAACGGCUCACCUAGGCGACGAUCCCUAGCUGGUCUGAGAGGAUGACCAGCCACACUGGAACUGAGACACGGUCCAGACUCCUACGGGAGGCAGCAGUGGGGAAUAUUGCACAAUGGGCGCAAGCCUGAUGCAGCUAUGCCGCGUGUAUGAAGAAGGCCUUCGGGUUGUAACGUACUUUCAGCGGGGAGGAAGGGAGUAAAGUUAAUACCUUGGCUCAUUGACGUUACCCGCAGAAGAAGCACCGGCUAACUCCGUG
This 490-nucleotide ribosomal RNA is filed under the name uncultured bacterium. RNAcentral describes it as "partial 16S ribosomal RNA". It matches the Rfam family "Bacterial small subunit ribosomal RNA", at positions 30 to 507 of the family's 1533-position model. The record is from RNAcentral.